UUAAAAGAUAGGUGGCGCAGUAUUCUAGUCGUUGCCAAUCGAUUUGAAGGCGGGGCUAAAAAUCCGUCAAUGGGCACAUCGAUGAAGUCCCUUUUGUUGGCCUGUGACGCCCAGUCGUGGGCUGGUAGAGGGGGUUAAGAAAGUAGGGCGAUCCGCAAUGGCAUGUGGGCGUUGACCCUGCUUUCGUGGAGGCCCAAGUGCGUAGGCCGGGCGUUGUGGUCUGGUUUAUGGCUUGGGGUAACCUGCAUUAAACAACAGCUUAGGAAAUGUUGGUGCAGUGUAGCCUGCCUUGAGUGGGUAUAGUGGGGAUGGCGGGUAUCAAGUUCUCCGAACUUGGCCAAGGGAGGGAGCUUUUGCCGCCUGAAACUAUAACCUGCAAAAGAGGCUAGAAUCGGUAAAGGCAUCGUUGAGGAAAACUCCUAGACUGUCCUUAUGUGCGGCGUUUUGGGGAUUACAGUGUGAACUAAGUGGCAAUCCAGUCUUUCAUUCGGCGACGAUGGAAACUUGGCGUAAAGGGAAACCGCCUGCCGGCGACGGCAAGGUGAACGAGUGGGAAAACCUACUGGACCUCAAGUCACAAUAUUUACUUAGAACGUUGCCACCUAUCAUAUUUA
Molecule: small RNA, 614 nt
Filed under: human gut metagenome
Source: RNAcentral